GAUGAACGCUGGCGGCGUGCCUAAUACAUGCAAGUCGAGCGAACAGACGAGGAGCUUGCUCCUCUGACGUUAGCGGCGGACGGGUGAGUAACACGUGGAUAACCUACCUAUAAGACUGGGAUAACUUCGGGAAACCGGAGCUAAUACCGGAUAAUAUAUUGAACCGCAUGGUUCAAUAGUGAAAGACGGUUUUGCUGUCACUUAUAGAUGGAUCCGCGCCGCAUUAGCUAGUUGGUAAGGUAACGGCUUACCAAGGCAACGAUGCGUAGCCGACCUGAGAGGGUGAUCGGCCACACUGGAACUGAGACACGGUCCAGACUCCUACGGGAGGCAGCAGUAGGGAAUCUUCCGCAAUGGGCGAAAGCCUGACGGAGCAACGCCGCGUGAGUGAUGAAUGUCUUCGGAUCGUAAAACGCUGUUAUUAGGGAAGAACAAAUGUGUAAGUAACUAUGCACGUCUUGACGGUACCUAAUCAGAAAGCCACGGCUAACUACGU
RNAcentral lists this ribosomal RNA (496 nucleotides) under uncultured bacterium. Its description in RNAcentral is "partial 16S ribosomal RNA". It matches the Rfam family "Bacterial small subunit ribosomal RNA", at positions 28 to 506 of the family's 1533-position model. The record is from RNAcentral.